Long non-coding RNA from Helicoverpa zea (corn earworm), 728 nucleotides. RefSeq lists it as uncharacterized. NCBI's taxonomy places the organism in Eukaryota, Metazoa, Arthropoda, Insecta, Lepidoptera, Noctuidae. The transcript has 3 exons. The record is from RefSeq and is a predicted model, not a curated record.
AAGGUACAAGUAUGGUAACCACGGUUAUGCAAUGACGGUGGUUAUUGUGCAAUUCGGCGAGAAAAUUACGACGUUGAAUGGAGCAUGCCAGCUGCCAGGAGCCCAACGUGUCGUGUGUUAUCGUGAGUUCGGAGUGUUGGUGCUCGUGCAUCUCCGUGGCUUCACGUUCGCGAAAGUCGCUGUACUGCGCGCUAUAGCGAUGUGUGCAUCGUCACGCACGUUGAGUGGAAACCCGGUGAGACCGAUCCAUUUUUGGUUUAUUUUUUGUGAUUAUUUGUCAUACGACACUAAUAACCUUGAGAGGCGUCUGUCUCGUUGAUAAGUUGGUGACCUAGUUUUAAUAAAAAAUGAAGAGCGCAAUCCAGUUAAACUCGACCCUAAGUUUAAAGGGCCAUUUUAAGUUCUUGAGUUACUUGAAGGCGAUCGCUAUGUUUUGAAAUCUUUAACUCUUAAUAGAACCUACGAGUAUGUCCACGAUCGCAUUAGAAAGAUGCCCCAAGCUGAGAUUCCAACUGAAUUAGAUUUAGUUGCUGUUGAUUUGGAGGUCGAUGACCCAUGCGAAGGUACAAUGUGUAGCCACACGAGGACGUGUGUAUGUCAGUUAUGGCCGUGUCGGAGAUAGUUAAUAGUACGGUCACUGAACGAGACGCAAGCGCGCCCUCUGGUGGCGUUUUCGGUGAAACAACAAUUUGGCGCGCUUGGCGGAGUCGUGGCGGUCAGCGUGGUGU